RNAcentral lists this ribosomal RNA (468 nucleotides) under uncultured bacterium. RNAcentral describes it as "bacterial SSU rRNA". It matches the Rfam family "Bacterial small subunit ribosomal RNA", at positions 329 to 794 of the family's 1533-position model. The record is from RNAcentral.
CACCAGACUCCUACGGGAGGCAGCAGUGAGGAAUAUUGGUCAAUGGGCGCGAGCCUGAACCAGCCAAGUCGCGUGAGGGAUGACGGCCCUACGGGUUGUAAACCUCUUUUGUCGGGGAGCAACGAGGCCACGUGUGGCCGAAGUGAGAGUACCCGAAGAAAAAGCAUCGGCUAACUCCGUGCCAGCAGCCGCGGUAAUACGUAGGGGGCAAGCGUUAUCCGGAUUUACUGGGUGUAAAGGGAGCGUAGACGGCAGCACAAGUCUGGAGUGAAAUCCCGGGGCUUAACCCCGGAACUGCUUUGGAAACUGUGCGGCUGGAGUGCAGGAGGGGUAAGCGGAAUUCCUAGUGUAGCGGUGAAAUGCGUAGAUAUUAGGAGGAACACCGGUGGCGAAGGCGGCUUACUGGACUGUAACUGACGUUGAGGCUCGAAAGCGUGGGGAGCAAACAGGAUUAGAUACCCCUGUAGC